CCUACGGGAGGCUGCAGUGGGGAAUAUUGGGCAAUGGGCGCAAGCCUGACCCAGCAACGCCGCGUGAAGGAAGACUGCCCUAUGGGUUGUAAACCUCUUUUGUCAGGGAGCAACGCCGGCUACGUGUAGCCGGACUGAGAGUACCUGAAGAAAAAGCAUCGGCUAACUCCGUGCCAGCAGCCGCGGUAAUACGGAGGAUGCGAGGGUUAUCCGGAUUUAUGGGGUUUAAGGGGUGCGUAGGCGGAAUGCCAAGUCAGCGGUAAAAGCGCGGGGCUCAACCUCGCUCCGCCGUUGAAACUGGCGUUCUUGAGUGGGCGAGAAGUAUGCGGAAUGCGUGGUGUAGCGGUGAAAUGCAUAGAUAUCACGCAGAACUCCGAUUGCGAAGGCAGCAUACCGGCGCGCAACUGACGCUGAAGCACGAAGGCGUGGGUAUCGAACAGGAUUAGAUACCCGUGUAGUC
Molecule: ribosomal RNA, 460 nt
Filed under: uncultured bacterium
Lineage: Bacteria
Description: partial 16S ribosomal RNA
Rfam family: Bacterial small subunit ribosomal RNA
Source: RNAcentral